UAGCAUGUUUCCAAGGUCAAUGGCUGAUAGUAGCCAUGGGAUCUCCAACUGCAUGCAAAAGCAAUCUGGAGAGACUCUUGACAGUGAAGGUCAACCAGUACCUGCAAGUGCCAUUCACCUUUCCUAUAAAC
Molecule: small nucleolar RNA, 131 nt
Organism: Sorex araneus (European shrew)
Lineage: Eukaryota; Metazoa; Chordata; Mammalia; Eulipotyphla; Soricidae
Source: Ensembl